RNAcentral lists this ribosomal RNA (433 nucleotides) under uncultured bacterium. RNAcentral's name for it is "partial 16S ribosomal RNA". It matches the Rfam family "Bacterial small subunit ribosomal RNA", at positions 29 to 507 of the family's 1533-position model. The record is from RNAcentral.
AACGAACGCUGGCGGCAUGCCUAACACAUGCAAGUCGAACGAGACCUUCGGGUCUAGUGGCGCACGGGUGCGUAACGUGUGGGAACCUGCCCUUAGGUUCGGAAUAACUCCCUGAAAGGGGUGCUAAUACCGGAUAAUGUCUUCGGACCAAAGAUUUAUCGCCUUUGGAUGGGCCCGCGUUGGUUUAGCUAGUUGGUAGGGUAAAAGCCUACCAAGGCGACGAUCCAUAGCUGGUCUGAGAGGAUGAUCAGCCACACUGGGACUGAGACACGGCCCAGACUCCUACGGGAGGCAGCAGUGGGGAAUAUUGGACAAUGGGCGAAAGCCUGAUCCAGCAAUGCCGCGUAAGUGAUGAAGGCCUUAGAGUUGUACAGCUCUUUUACCCGGGAUGAUAAUGACAGUACCGGGAGAAUAAGCACCGGCUAACUCCGUG